This 338-nucleotide long non-coding RNA is filed under the name Oryza brachyantha (malo sina). Its description in RNAcentral is "long non-coding RNA (OBRA_LNC002063)". The record is from RNAcentral. Lineage: Eukaryota; Viridiplantae; Streptophyta; Magnoliopsida; Poales; Poaceae.
ACGCUUUCGAGCUAGAUAAAGACAUUGUUGGUGUCGCUGCCUCUGUUGAUGAAGUUGUACUCCACCAUUGCGUUUACUAGUAGACAUGAUGAUUAGUCAAGGAGUAAGUCGAUCUCGGCUCCACAAAUAAUGCUGCGAUCUACUCCACCAUUGCGUUUACUAGUAGACAUGAUGAUUAGUCGAGGAGUAAGUCGAUACAGUCCAUAAUGUUGCGAUCUACUCCACCAUUGCGUUUAAGUCCAAUAGAUGCCAAACUUUUGUAUGCAAGUACUCACUUAGGAGGCAAGCCUUCACAAGUUGGGCUGUCCUCGCAUCUCGAUCUUCUCAACAUUCUCACC